RNAcentral lists this ribosomal RNA (639 nucleotides) under uncultured bacterium. RNAcentral's name for it is "bacterial SSU rRNA". It matches the Rfam family "Bacterial small subunit ribosomal RNA", at positions 232 to 885 of the family's 1533-position model. The record is from RNAcentral.
CGCGGCCUAUCAGCUUGUUGGUGAGGUAACGGCUCACCAAGGCAUCGACGGGUAGCUGGUCUGAGAGGACGGUCAGCCACACUGGGACUGAGACACGGCCCAGACUCCUACGGGAGGCAGCAGUGGGGAAUCUUGCGCGAUGGGCGAAAGCCUGACGCAGCCACGCCGCGUGAGGGAUGAAGGCUUUCGGGUUGUAAACCUCUUUCAGCAGGGACGAAAAUGACGGUACCUGCAGAAGAAGGUCCGGCCAACUACGUGCCAGCAGCCGCGGUAACACGUAGGGACCGAGCGUUGUCCGGAUUUAUUGGGCGUAAAGAGCUCGUAGGCGGUUCAGUAAGUCAGGUGUGAAAGUCCAAGGCUCAACCUUGGAACGCCACUUGAUACUGCUGUGACUAGAGUCCGGUAGAGGAGUGUGGAAUUCCUGGUGUAGCGGUGAAAUGCGCAGAUAUCAGGAGGAACACCGACGGCGAAGGCAGCACUCUGGGCCGGUACUGACGCUGAGGAGCGAAAGCAUGGGGAGCGAACAGGAUUAGAUACCCUGGUAGUCCAUGCCGUAAACGUUGGGCACUAGGUGUGGGGCCUUAUCAACGGGUUCCGUGCCGUAGCUAACGCAUUAAGUGCCCCGCCUGGGGAGUACGG